This is a long non-coding RNA of Sapajus apella (tufted capuchin), 165 nucleotides long. RefSeq lists it as uncharacterized. The transcript is spliced from 3 exons. Lineage: Eukaryota; Metazoa; Chordata; Mammalia; Primates; Cebidae. The record is from RefSeq and is a predicted model, not a curated record.
UGGGUCUUGACUUUUUAUCCAGCUUGCCAGUCUAUGUCUUUUGAUUGGGGCAUUUAGACGACUUACAUUGAACGUUAAUAUUGUUAUGUGUGAAUUUGAUCCUGCCAUUUUGUUACAGGCUUGCUUUUUUGCCCGUUAGUUGAUGUAUAUUCUUCAUUAUGUUAA